UCAGAUUCUUAAGUUGCAUCA
This 21-nucleotide non-coding RNA is filed under the name Caenorhabditis elegans. Lineage: Eukaryota; Metazoa; Nematoda; Chromadorea; Rhabditida; Rhabditidae. The record is from RNAcentral.